This is a long non-coding RNA of Passer domesticus (house sparrow), 226 nucleotides long. RefSeq lists it as uncharacterized. The record is from RefSeq and is a predicted model, not a curated record. The transcript has 3 exons. NCBI's taxonomy places the organism in Eukaryota, Metazoa, Chordata, Aves, Passeriformes, Passeridae.
AAAUCUAUGCCAUGAGAAUCAGCGAAGAAAUCAGGACUUCCUGGCAAUUCCGGAGAUGACAAAAGUAAUGGCUUCGAAAGAACCAGCUCAUCCAGCAGCAGUGAUGCUCCUCUCACCAUGAAGUGUUUGCUUUGACAGAGCUGAGAACCCCUCCAGGCAUCCCAGGGAACGGUGAAAACCAGUUUAAAUGAUCAGCUCAAGGUGCAGGGUCUGAAACUCACCCGGA